CUUCUCCGCCCUCCGCCGCCGCUCCGCUCCACGGGCCCAACCGGGCCACGGACCGGUCCCGCCGAGCUCCGCUCCCGCGGGUGAAGGCACCAGCCCGCUCCGUCUGGGCACCCGCCGUCCUGCCCGUCCGAGCCCGCGCCGCCGGUUCAGUCCCGCGGCCCAUCUCGGUCGCCUUCCGACUCACCCCACCCCGCCGCGCUGGCCGUGCUGUCCCCGACGGACCCCCCCUGGACAUCGGGGCACCUGCGCUGCCCGUGGGGUGGGGCAAAGGGAGGCGACCACCGCGUCCCCGGCCCGUCGGGACGGGAGGCUGGAGAUCGCACUCCGGGCUCCCUCGCCCGGUGCCAGUGGCCCGGGGCCCGGUGCCAGCCUUGAGUGACCCGGUCUUGCGUGGACUAAACCAGCCACGACCACGGCUGCUGCGUGCGCGGGGCGCGAAGGGCAGCGGGGCGAUCCCGGUGGGAAGGAGCCGCCGGCGGCGACCGGGCAUCCUGGGACCUGUCCCGCUGCCGGGCGCGGCGGGCAGCGGGGCCCCGGUCCGGGGGGGCCGGCAGCCCCGGCGCAACGGGGGCCCGUUCCCAAGGCUCCCGCUCUGUCUCUGCUUUGGGAAAACGCCAGCACGGUAACAAAAUGGCGGGGAAAGGGUGGGAUUGUCACGGCGAGCCCUGCAACGCAGCCCCACUGGCCCCCGGCACCGCCCGGCCGGUCUCUGGGCGUCCGUACCGGCGGCGGGCAGCGGGACAGGGGGGGCCCCCCCGGGCCGUACCGCCGCCCGGCCCCGCCGCCCGGCAGAGCUCCGGUGGAGACGCAGCUGCAGAAAAUGGCUGCUCGGCGGAGCCCGCUGAAUCCUGACAUGAAGGGGGGGAACGGGGACGGCAAGAAAACGGCGCAACCCCCCGACACCGGCCGCAGCCCCCACCGGGGAGCCCCGGGGCGGGCGGGGCGGGGGGCGGGCGGAGGCUGCGCGAGGCGGUGGGACCCGGCACCGGGUGGAGCCUCCGCGGUGGGGCCUCACCUGCGGCGCGGCGGGAGGGGGCACGGGGCAGCCCGCCCCGAUCGCGAACAGUUCCCUGCGGCGCCGGGACGGCAGCCCCCGCCCAGUGCCCGCCGGGGCGGCGGGGCGGGACGGGCACCCCCGGAAUGCCCCGCGGCCGCGCCCGGUUUAAAGAAAAAAUAAAAAAUAAAAUAAAAAUGAAAUAAAAGAAAUAAA
Strigops habroptila (Kakapo) is the source of this 1210-nucleotide long non-coding RNA. Lineage: Eukaryota; Metazoa; Chordata; Aves; Psittaciformes; Psittacidae. The record is from Ensembl.